This 1346-nucleotide ribosomal RNA is filed under the name uncultured bacterium. RNAcentral's name for it is "partial 16S ribosomal RNA". It matches the Rfam family "Bacterial small subunit ribosomal RNA", at positions 28 to 1381 of the family's 1533-position model. The record is from RNAcentral.
GACGAACGCUGGCGGCGUGCUUAACACAUGCAAGUCGAACGGAAAGGCCCUGCUUUUGUGGGGUGCUCGAGUGGCGAACGGGUGAGUAACACAUGAGUAACCUGCCCUUGACUUUGGGAUAACUUCAGGAAACUGGGGCUAAUACCGGAUAGGAGCUCCUGCUGCAUGGUGGGGGUUGGAAAGUUUCGGCGGUUGGGGAUGGACUCGCGGCUUAUCGGCUUGUUGGUGGGGUAGUGGCUUACCAAGGCUUUGACGGGUAGCCGGCCUGAGAGGGUGACCGGCCACAUUGGGACUGAGAUACGGCCCAGACUCCUACGGGAGGCAGCAGUGGGGAAUAUUGCACAAUGGGCGGAAGCCUGAUGCAGCAACGCCGCGUGCGGGAUGACGGCCUUCGGGUUGUAAACCGCUUUCGCCUGUGACGAAGCGUGAGUGACGGUAAUGGGUAAAGAAGCACCGGCUAACUACGUGCCAGCAGCCGCGGUGAUACGUAGGGUGCGAGCGUUGUCCGGAUUUAUUGGGCGUAAAGGGCUCGUAGGUGGUUGAUCGCGUCGGAAGUGUAAUCUUGGGGCUUAACCCUGAGCGUGCUUUCGAUACGGGUUGACUUGAGGAAGGUAGGGGAGAAUGGAAUUCCUGGUGGAGCGGUGGAAUGCGCAGAUAUCAGGAGGAACACCAGUGGCGAAGGCGGUUCUCUGGGCCUUUCCUGACGCUGAGGAGCGAAAGCGUGGGGAGCGAACAGGCUUAGAUACCCUGGUAGUCCACGCUGUAAACGGUGGGUACUAGGUGUGGGGUCCAUUCCACGGGUUCCGUGCCGUAGCUAACGCUUUAAGUACCCCGCCUGGGGAGUACGGCCGCAAGGCUAAAACCCAAAGGAAUUGACGGGGCCCCGCACAAGCGGCGGAGCAUGCGGAUUAAUUCGAUGCAACGCGUAGAACCUUACCUGGGUUUGACAUGGAUCGGGAGUGCUCAGAGAUGGGUGUGCCUCUUUUGGGGUCGGUUCACAGGUGGUGCAUGGCUGUCGUCAGCUCGUGUCGUGAGAUGUUGGGUUAAGUCCCGCAACGAGCGCAACCCUUGUUCACUGUUGCCAGCACGUUAUGGUGGGGACUCAGUGGAGACCGCCGGGGUCAACUCGGAGGAAGGUGGGGAUGACGUCAAGUCAUCAUGCCCCUUAUGUCCAGGGCUUCACGCAUGCUACAAUGGCUGGUACAGAGAGUGGCGAGCCUGUGAGGGUGAGCGAAUCUCGGAAAGCCGGUCUCAGUUCGGAUUGGGGUCUGCAACUCGACCUCAUGAAGUCGGAGUCGCUAGUAAUCGCAGAUCAGCAACGCUGCGGUGAAUACGUUCCCGGGGCU